GAUGAACGCUGGCGGCGUGCCUAAUACAUGCAAGUCGAGCGAACAGACGAGAGUGCUUGCACUCUCUGACGUUAGCGGCGGACGGGUGAGUAACACGUGGGUAACCUACCUAUAAGACUGGGAUAACUUCGGGAAACCGGAGCUAAUACCGGAUAAUAUUUAGCUUCGCAUGAAGCAAUAGUGAAAGACGGUUCUGCUGUCACUUAUAGGUGGACCCGCGGUGUAUUAGCUAGUUGGUGAGGUAACGGCUCACCAAGGCAACGAUACAUAGCCGACCUGAGAGGGUGAUCGGCCACACUGGGACUGAGACACGGCCCAGACUCCUACGGGAGGCAGCAGUAGGGAAUCUUCCGCAAUGGACGAAAGUCUGACGGAGCAAUGCCGCGUGAGUGAAGAAGGUUUUCGGAUCGUAAAACUCUGUUGUAAGGGAAGAACAAGUACGUUAGUAACUGAACGUACCUUGACGGUACCUUAACAGAAAGCCACGGCUAACUACGUG
RNAcentral lists this ribosomal RNA (499 nucleotides) under uncultured bacterium. Its description in RNAcentral is "partial 16S ribosomal RNA". It matches the Rfam family "Bacterial small subunit ribosomal RNA", at positions 28 to 507 of the family's 1533-position model. The record is from RNAcentral.